CCGAGUUCUACCGGCGGCCGGCGGCGGCGCCUCCUUCAAAUGUCUAAGGCCAUUUUAGGCAGAUUCCUCAACCUCCAAACCUAAAUCGCCAUUUUUUUUUGUUGCUGUGGGAACUUUCGUAAGCUCCAGCUGGUGACAGUUCAGGCUUGACUUAGUAAAUUUACUUGCAGAAGCAGUACUGUGGGAGCACAGAAGUAGAAAUCUAGUGACUUCCUCCAGCUCAACAUGCCGAAAGAUAGAAUGGUGAACUCUUCGUCCUUCAACGGGGCAAGGGCAUCUCCUUAUGAUUGCAGCUCAAAGACUACUGACCUACCACCAGUAGAGAGUGAAAGAGAAUGGGAAGAAGCUAGGUGCGCUAUAUGUAUGGAGCAUCCACACAAUGCUGUCCUUCUACUUUGCUCAUCCGGGGAAAAGGGUUGCCUGCCUUAUAUGUGUGACACAAGUUACCGUCAUUCAAAUUGUCUUGAUCAAUUUUGUAAACUAUCAUCCGGAACACAAUCAGAAGUUCCACAAGAGCGAAGUACUGUAUCGGGAACGAUGCUCCACAGGGGAAAUCAGGUACAACCUUCAUCAAGAACAACCUGGUUUGCUGGGGGGCAGCAACCAGAGCUUGUCUGCCCUCUUUGCCGGGGACAGAUUAAAGGAUGGAUUGUCGUAGAGGCAGCUCGUAAAUUCAUGAAUUCCAAACACAGGAGUUGUUCGUUGGAGACAUGCAAUUUUAAUGGCAAUUAUGGAGAACUAAGAAAGCAUGCCAGGCUUGAGCAUCCCUCAGACAGGCCAGCCGAGGCUGACCCUCAAAGGCUGUCUGAUUGGAGAAGGUUGGAGAUUCAAAGAGACGCUGGGGAUACUCUCAGUGCAUAUCAGACACCAUUAGGUGAUCUCGUUCCUCCAGAUGAGUUCUUUGAGAUGCCUGCUGGUAUGUUUGACUUCCUUGAUGAUGUGUACUCUGAGCCUGAGGAUGGAUUUAGUCCAGACAUCAAUCUGUUGUUGGAUUUGGAAUUUGAGUUCUCCUUUCUGAAUGACCUCCCAUAUGUGACUUGGUCAUAUGAAGAGAUGAUGAUGCUGUUAGACUGAGUGCUAGUUGAUCACAACUAGUGCUAGAUCCGAAAGCAGGUGAGCUAGUAGAUAAGCUCCAUCAGAUAAUCACGGGGAAAGACCAGGAACGUGGAGGAGACACAACAGGUCAUCAAGGUACAUGCCAAGAUCCUUCGGGCAUUAAACCAUUGAAUUAAUGCUUGGUUCCUUUCAGGUUGAAGUUCUUUGGUUUUCAGGUAUCUUGUCAUCACUGAAUGGAGGAAUUUUAUGUCAGAAUUCCUGUUAUUUGUACUCUCAAAUGAACCAUCGCUGUUGUCGUUCUUUUCCAUUCCUACUUCGAUACUUCAAGAACAAGUGUUUCCCCCCUCAUGAAAUUAUAGUUCCUUGUUUACUAUCUCUGAACAUAUGAAACAUAAAAGCUUGUU
This 1460-nucleotide unclassified non-coding RNA is filed under the name Hevea brasiliensis (rubber tree). The record is from RNAcentral. Lineage: Eukaryota; Viridiplantae; Streptophyta; Magnoliopsida; Malpighiales; Euphorbiaceae.